CCACGCCCCCCACCAAGGAUAUAGCCCACCCGUUUUUUGGCCAUUUUUCCGCUGGGGGGUCUUGGGACCCCGACCUUCGGGGGCUGAUUUUUGGGCGCGGCUGUGCCCGUGGCCUAUUUUUGGCACACGGAGGCCGCCCGCCAAGUCUGGGGCCAUUCCGAGUCCCGCGGACGAACUUCGCCCACGCCCCCCACCAAGGCUAUAGCCCACCCGUUUUUUGGCCAUUGUUCCGCUGCGGGGUCUUUGGACCCCGACCUUCGGGGGCUGAUUUUUGGGCGCGGCUAUGCCCGUGGCCUAUUUUUGGCACACGGUGGCCGCCCGCCAAGUCUGGUGCCAUUCCGAGUCCGGCGGACGAACUUCGCCCACGCCCCCAACCAAGGCUAUAGCCCACCCGUUUUUUGGCCAAUUUUCCGCUGGGGGGUCUUGGGACCCUGACCUUCGGGGGCUGAUUUUUGGGCGCGGCUUUGCCCGUGGCCUAUUUUUGGCACAGGGAGGCCGCCCGCGAAGUCUGGGGCCAUUCCGAGUCCGGCGGACAAACUUCGCCCACGCCCCCCACCAAGGCUAUAGCCCACC
This 573-nucleotide long non-coding RNA is filed under the name Citrus x clementina. RNAcentral describes it as "Citrus clementina (C. clementina) long non-coding RNA (CCLE_LNC001695)". The record is from RNAcentral. Lineage: Eukaryota; Viridiplantae; Streptophyta; Magnoliopsida; Sapindales; Rutaceae.